RNAcentral lists this long non-coding RNA (244 nucleotides) under Brassica rapa (field mustard). RNAcentral's name for it is "long non-coding RNA (BRAP_LNC000163)". The record is from RNAcentral. Lineage: Eukaryota; Viridiplantae; Streptophyta; Magnoliopsida; Brassicales; Brassicaceae.
GGAGACUCAUGUCUCCUGCCUCCUACCAAAAAAAAAAAAAAUCGUGUAAUCUUUUCUCAUUGUUUGCAAUAUUUGAUGUAUUUUACAUUAAUUAUAAAGUUAAUAAAUUUCAAUGUCUUUUAAUUGCUAAAUUAUUUGGACUGUGGUGUAAAAUUUAUAUUAUACUAGUACAUUUCCUAUAUAUUAUUCUUGGAGUAUUGAUUAAAUGACAAUCUUGUGCAUCAUGCUUACUUGUCAAGCUGAG